Sciurus carolinensis (gray squirrel) is the source of this 1444-nucleotide long non-coding RNA. RefSeq lists it as uncharacterized. The transcript has 3 exons. NCBI's taxonomy places the organism in Eukaryota, Metazoa, Chordata, Mammalia, Rodentia, Sciuridae. The record is from RefSeq and is a predicted model, not a curated record.
GGAAUCCCAUCUGUCGCCCCCCACCCCGAGACGCUGGCCUCGCCUUCCAUUUGCCUGGACACCCUCCUCCACAUCCAGAUGCUGACUGGUCUCAUUCGGAAAAGAAAGGGAAGACCAGAACAUUAAAAAUAUGAACAAAAAUCCCAGGAGGAAUCUCAGCAGUCAAGUGUUAGGGAAACUCUGAACUUGAAGAAGGUAGUCAACAUAAAGAAUGUGGAAGUAGAAAUCUUCAGCUGGACUCCAGAUCCUAUUGUGAACAAAAAAAUUCUUCCUUGAAUAAAACCAAGUGAAAGCUAUGCAUGUGGAGAUCCUUCUUGAUCAUUCAUCUCUAAAUGUGCCCUCAAGUGCUCAUACCAGACAGGAACCACAUAUCAGGAAUAUGGAAAGAGUUCACAUACAUGCCUAAAUGUGAGGAAAACCUUCAUUUAUUCUCAAUGCAGCAUCAAAAGACUCACACUGAAAAGAGGCACCAGGAACAUGAGCAGGGUGGGAAAAACUUAACUUGUCCCAGUUCUAUUCAGAUACACAAAGGAGUUCUCACUGGAGUCAGAUCCUUCGUGUGUAUGCAGUGCGGAAUAGGCAUUAGCUAUUCUCAUCACAUUAAAAUACAUGAAUAGACUUGAGAGAAAACCUGUGUAAAUUGUACACCUCGUGGGAAGCCCACUGUAAUUCCACUUCCUUCAGAAGACUUGGAAGAAUUCACAGUGAAAUGAAACCCUGUAAGCUGUGUGGGAAAGCCUUCAGUUAUUCCAAUUACCUAAAAAAAUAUGGAAGAAGCUCACCCUGCAAAGAAACCGUGUGUCUGCAAGCCAUGUGGGAAAGCCUUCAUUUCCCCUCUUCCCUCUGAAAACAUGAAAGAACUCACUAUGGAGACAGACCCUCCAAAUGUAAGCAAUGUGAAAAAGGCUUAAGUUGCUCUUGUAACAUUAGUGAGCUGUGUGGGAAAGCCUUCCUUCAGUUCACUUCCUUUCACAGACAUAAAAGAACUCACACUGCAGAGUAACCCUGAAUAAAGACUGUGGAACAACUUCCUUAUCACAUGACCUUCUAGGCAAACAUGCAAAUACACAGUGGCAAGAACUUGAAUCAGGAUAAAACAGAUGGGAAUGCCUGUAGUCAUCUUGGCUCAGCAUAUGCAUUUAAAAUAAUUCUUUAUGGAGAGAAACCCAGAAUAGAUGUGCAGAAGUCUUCAGCUGGCCCACAUGUAAAAAUGCACAUUGGUUGAGAAUCACAUAUGAAAAACACAAGAAAGUUGCCAUUUGUAACAAACAGUUUAAAAGUCUGAAAAUUCCUCAAGUAGUGGAAUCCUAUAAAUGUAAUUAAUUUUAAGUAAGACCUUGAACUGAAAUGAUCUGAGAAUGCUUGAAAAAAAUGUACUACCUAAAAGAAAUGUAUUAAAAAGUAUAAAUAUAUUGUAUUCAUCUGUGGCUUAUGCUUAAAGGAG